AGUGAACGCUGGCGGUAGGCCUAACACAUGCAAGUCGAACGGCAGCACAGUAAGAGCUUGCUCUUACGGGUGGCGAGUGGCGGACGGGUGAGGAAUACAUCGGAAUCUACUUUUUCGUGGGGGAUAACGUAGGGAAACUUACGCUAAUACCGCAUACGACCUACGGGUGAAAGCAGGGGAUCUUCGGACCUUGCGCGAUUGAAUGAGCCGAUGUCGGAUUAGCUAGUUGGCGGGGUAAAGGCCCACCAAGGCGACGAUCCGUAGCUGGUCUGAGAGGAUGAUCAGCCACAAUGGAACUGAGACACGGUCCAGAAUCCUACGGGAGGCAGCAGUGGGGAAUAUUGGACAAUGGGCGCAAGCCUGAUCCAGCCAUACCGCGUGGGUGAAGAAGGCCUUCGGGUUGUAAAGCCCUUUUGUUGGGAAAGAAAAGCAGCAGGUUAAUACCCCGCUGUUCUGACGGUACCCAAAGAAUAAGCACCGGCUAACUUCGUG
This 492-nucleotide ribosomal RNA is filed under the name uncultured bacterium. RNAcentral's name for it is "partial 16S ribosomal RNA". It matches the Rfam family "Bacterial small subunit ribosomal RNA", at positions 29 to 507 of the family's 1533-position model. The record is from RNAcentral.